Long non-coding RNA from Cavia porcellus (domestic guinea pig), 1017 nucleotides. RefSeq lists it as uncharacterized. The record is from RefSeq and is a predicted model, not a curated record. Lineage: Eukaryota; Metazoa; Chordata; Mammalia; Rodentia; Caviidae. The transcript has 3 exons.
CACAGUGAGGGGGUGCAAGAUGGCAGCUGGUCAUCAUGUGACUCACAGCUGGAUAGCUGCUGCUGAUCACGAGGGGCAACAAGGGGACGGCCGCUGACCCUGAGACCCGUUGCAAGAUGGCAGUGCCAUGCCACAUGGCAGAGUGCAGCAAGAUGGUGACUGUCCUCCAUGUAAGCUGCAGCAACAUGGCUGCUGGCAACCAUGUGGCCUGCCAGAAGGCUGGAACGCCUGAGACCACACAUGGGUGAAAGCAGACCACUGUGGAAGAGAGCAAAGGCGGAACACGGCGGCGGUCCUUCACGUCUCCCACUGCUCAGCUGUGCUAUCAGAGCCACAGGCGACUCAUGAGAAGAACUGAAGACAGCACUCACUGUUUGGAUCCAGCGGAGGUGAGCCAGAAGAGAACCAGUCAGCAUCUCCCAAGAUCCAGCCACGCUGGAACUUAGGGCGCUGAACAAGGAAACAACCGGCCCUCCUACCUGGUUGGCAGCCAUGGAGCAGGUGCGGGCGGGCGAGGCAGGAGGAGAACCCGCAGGCCUUUCCCACCAUUGCUGGGUGGGCAGAGAAUGGAGCAUCCCAUCCCACCCCCACAGUGACUGGGGCCAGAAUCUGAGCAUCUCUUAGGAGGAUGAUCUUAUGCAAUAUGGCAAAUAUGGGGGAUUUCCUUCUAUCUUCUCUUUGAAGGCAAAUAUUGUUUCCACUGUUUUGCUUUGUUCUGAUAGUUUUGAUCUAUUCAAUAUUCUGCCCUGAUAGAUUUUGUAAUGUUCUGUUUUUUGUUUGAUUUUGCUAUACCUAAUUGAUUGGACAACUACUGUGAAGAUAAUGAGAUACACAUAGUACCUAUGACUGUUAUCCUGGUAUUGUGCUGUGAAGUUCUGUACCAUUUUCACUACAUUGUUUCAAUUGGCUUUAUUUUGUCUUGUUCUAUUGUAUUUUACUACCUUUAAAGUAAAAAAAAUUGUAUAUUUGUAUCAAAUUGUCAUAUAACCAUAAAUGUGUAUGAAUAUCAUGUGUCAA